This 492-nucleotide ribosomal RNA is filed under the name uncultured bacterium. RNAcentral describes it as "bacterial SSU rRNA". It matches the Rfam family "Bacterial small subunit ribosomal RNA", at positions 17 to 518 of the family's 1533-position model. The record is from RNAcentral.
UCUUGGUUCAGGAUGAACGCUGGCGGCGUGCUUAACACAUGCAAGUCGAACGGAGUUUAAAAUGAAGCUUGCGAUUUUUAAACUUAGUGGCGGACGGGUGAGUAACGCGUGGGUAACCUGCCUUAUACCGGGGGAUAACACUUAGAAAUAGGUGCUAAUACCGCAUAAGCGCACAGUUUCGCAUGAAACAGUGUGAAAAACUCCGGUGGUAUAAGAUGGACCCGCGUCUGAUUAGCUAGUUGGUGAGGUAACGGCCCACCAAGGCGACGAUCAGUAGCCGGCCUGAGAGGGUGAACGGCCACAUUGGGACUGAGACACGGCCCAAACUCCUACGGGAGGCAGCAGUGGGGAAUAUUGCACAAUGGGGGGAACCCUGAUGCAAGCGACGCCGCGUGAAGGAAGAAGUAUCUCGGUAUGUAAACUUCUAUCAGCAGGGAAGAAAAUGACGGUACCUGACUAAGAAGCCCCGGCUAACUACGUGCCAGCAGCUGC